Molecule: ribosomal RNA, 468 nt
Filed under: uncultured bacterium
Lineage: Bacteria
Description: partial 16S ribosomal RNA
Rfam family: Bacterial small subunit ribosomal RNA
Source: RNAcentral
GACGAACGCUGGCGGCGUGCUUAACACAUGCAAGUCGAACGGAAAGGCCCUGCUUUUGUGGGGUGCUCGAGUGGCGAAAGGGUGAGUAACACGUGAGUAACCUGCCCUUGACUCUGGGAUAACUUCAGGAAACUGGGGCUAAUACCGGAUAGGAGCUCCUGCUGCAUGGUGGGGGUUGGAAAGUUUCGGCGGUUGGGGAUGGACUCGCGGCUUAUCAGCUUGUUGGUGGGGUAGUGGCUUACGAAGGCUUUGAACGGUAGCCGGCCUGAGAGGGUGACCGGCCACAUUGGGACUGAGAUACGGCCCAGACUCCUACGGGAGGCAGCAGUGGAGAAUAUUGCACAAUGGGCGGAAGUCUGAUGAAGCAACGCCGCGUGCGGGAUGACGGCCUUCGGGUUGUAAACCGCUUUCGCCUGUAACGAAGCGUGAGUGACGGUAAUGGGUAAAGAAGCACCGGCUAACUACGUG